AACGAACGCUGGCGGCAGGCCUAACACAUGCAAGUCGAGCGGACCCUUCGGGGUUAGCGGCGGACGGGUGAGUAACGCGUGGGAAUAUGCCCUUCUCUACGGAAUAGUCCUGGGAAACUGGGGGUAAUACCGUAUACGCCCUUUGGGGGAAAGAUUUAUCGGGGAAGGAUUAGCCCGCGUUGGAUUAGGUAGUUGGUGGGGUAAUGGCCUACCAAGCCGACGAUCCAUAGCUGGUUUGAGAGGAUGAUCAGCCACACUGGGACUGAGACACGGCCCAGACUCCUACGGGAGGCAGCAGUGGGGAAUCAUAGACAAUGGGGGCAACCCUGAUCUAGCCAUGCCGCGUGAGUGAUGAAGGCCUUAGGGUUGUAAAGCUCUUUGAGCUGGGAAGAUAAUGACGGUACCAGCAGAAGAAGCCCCGGCUAACUCCGUG
RNAcentral lists this ribosomal RNA (433 nucleotides) under uncultured bacterium. Its description in RNAcentral is "partial 16S ribosomal RNA". It matches the Rfam family "Bacterial small subunit ribosomal RNA", at positions 29 to 507 of the family's 1533-position model. The record is from RNAcentral.